Molecule: ribosomal RNA, 492 nt
Filed under: uncultured bacterium
Lineage: Bacteria
Description: partial 16S ribosomal RNA
Rfam family: Bacterial small subunit ribosomal RNA
Source: RNAcentral
GAUGAACGCUGGCGGCGUGCCUAAUACAUGCAAGUCGAGCGAACAGACGAGGAGCUUGCUCCUCUGACGUUAGCGGCGGACGGGUGAGUAACACGUGGAUAACCUACCUAUAAGACUGGGAUAACUUCGGGAAACCGGAGCUAAUACCGGUUAAUAUAUUGAACCGCAUGGUUCAAUAGUGAAAGACGGUUUUGCUGUCACUUAUAGAUGGAUCCGCGUCGCAUUAGCUAGUUGGUGAGGUAACGGCUUACCAAGGCAACGAUGCGUAGGCGACCUGAGAGGAAGGGACAGAAAAUUGGAACAGAGAAACGGGGCAAACUCGUAGGGGAGGAAGAAGUGAGGAAGAUUGGUAAAUGGGAGGAAGACUGAAAGAGAAAAGUAGAGAGCAGGAAGACGGCUCUCCGGGGGGUAAACGGCUUUUAGUUGGGAAUAAAACGGGGCUCGUGAGCCCCCUUGCAUGUACCAAAAGAAAAAGGAAGGGCUAAUUCCGUG